Molecule: transfer RNA, 78 nt
Filed under: Flavobacteriales bacterium
Lineage: Bacteria; Pseudomonadati; Bacteroidota; Flavobacteriia; Flavobacteriales
Description: tRNA-Val
Rfam family: tRNA
About the family: Transfer RNA (tRNA) molecules are approximately 80 nucleotides in length. Their secondary structure includes four short double-helical elements and three loops (D, anti-codon, and T loops).
Source: RNAcentral
GGGCAAUUAGCUCAGCUGGUUUAGAGCACUACCUUGACAGGGUAGGGGUCAUUGGUUCGAAUCCGAUAUUGCUCACGA